Erinaceus europaeus (western European hedgehog) is the source of this 110-nucleotide ribosomal RNA. Lineage: Eukaryota; Metazoa; Chordata; Mammalia; Eulipotyphla; Erinaceidae. The record is from Ensembl.
GUCUACGGCUGUACAAAACUGAACACGCCUGAUCUCGUCUGAUGUCAGAAGCUAAGCAGGGUUGGGCCUGGUUAGUACUUGGAGGGGAGAAAUUAGAGAAACUAUAAAUU